This 1084-nucleotide long non-coding RNA is filed under the name Solanum tuberosum (potato). RNAcentral describes it as "long non-coding RNA (STUB_LNC005880)". The record is from RNAcentral. Lineage: Eukaryota; Viridiplantae; Streptophyta; Magnoliopsida; Solanales; Solanaceae.
UAUUUCAAUUUCAGAAUCAAUUUUGAAAUAUUACUAUUAUAUGAAAGAGUAUUACUAAACAAAAGAUUAUGAUAGUAUAUUGUUUUUCGUCCUAAAUUCUUGGACCUUCCACUAAGUGCGAAUCUAAGAAAGUAAUUUGAACAUUAAACUUGAAGAUCUAGGAUCUCAAUAAAGCACAUUUUCAUCACCAACGCCUAAUCCAUGAUUGUUGAACAAUUCAAUGCAUGAAAGAGAAUAGUCAUCAUUGUACAACUUCUUUAAGCAAACAUUUCCACCUUCAUACUUUUUAGGGGCAUUCUCCUCAGUUACAUCCCACAUGUCAACACUUACCCCACACCCGUUCUCCAAACUUUUAGCCACAUCUAACUUUUAAUAUCGAAGAAUAUACUCAAAUGUAUCAAAAAAUGGAAUCACCAACAUUCCAAGAACGACCUCAUCAUGGGUAAUCUUUUUUGAUUUUUUCUCUUAUCUCCACUAGUUCUUGAGUCACUACCCAUGGAGUGUUGUUAACUAUGUAGCUUCUAUUUUCUUUUCAAUGGCUUAUUGUUCUUUCUCCAAACCAAAAAUUGAGAUUUACUAAGUUGCAUCACCAGAUUUUCAUCCCAAAUUAACCCAAAGGGCUCCAAUUCUAUUGUCUAAUAUUUCAUUAGUAAUUUGGAAUCGAUGGUGGUGUUUGACAAAAUUACUCUUUUGGAUAGGAUCUCUUCUGUCAAUUAUGCUAUAAUUUGGUCAUAAAUUUCAGGACUGUUACAACCACAAUGAGUUCCUAUGCAGCUUGGAAAAAUUCAUAAGGUCCUCGAACAAACCUUCGAGAUUCUUUCAGUCCUACAAUUACAAAUCCAACCAGAAAUGACAUUUUGGAUUCAACAGAUUUCAAAAAAUAACUAACAGAGAUUGGUCUCAAGGGCGCUGAAGAAGAAGAAUCUACUACUAGAGGUGGUAUUUGUUAGGAUUUCAAAAUUUUAGAGAAAAAAAAGAUAAGGUUCAGCAAAGGAAAUUUUCAUUCAUGUUCAGCUUUUAAAAAACAUACACACAUAUAUCUACAUAAGCUUUUCCAAAGUUAGUAGAGGACCAUACAUAUCCA